CCCCCCCCCCCCCCCCCCCCCCCCCCCUGAGCCGGCAGACUGAUGUACGAGCUGCCUUCUUCGCUCCACCGGCUUCUCGUGGUCGCCGCCACCGCUGCUUCUGCUGCUUGUCUCCGUCUCCUGCAUGCUCGACAAGUGAUUGGAGGAGGAGUUAGUGCCAAGGACUGGACCGGAUGCGCCUUGAUACAUGAUGUGCAGCGCCCUUGAUCUCAGGAGUCGCAGCAGGGGCAUGGGUGGGGAAGGAGCAGCAGUGACUUCCCAAACCCCGCACCAGAGUGGGUGGCCACGGCGGGCGCCAGGAAGCGGCGGCGGAGAUGAUCAAUGCGAUGAGGAGGAGCCGCCCGUCGAAGCGGUCGCCAUGGAGGAGCAAAAACGGCAGAUGGGCGGUGGCAGAGCUCGCCUCCAUGCGAGCAGCGCAUGUGGGCAGGGGCGACGCAGAUUGGCAGCGGACCAGCAGAGGCGCAGCAGCGACACAGGUAGGCGGCGGCGCGCUAGGCCCUGCGACGGCUGCCGCUGAUGGCUGCGCCUGGUUCCUGCCGCGGGCGACGAGGGAAGGGAGGAAGAAGAUGGGGGUAAGUAGCAAGCGAUUUAGAAUCAUAAGGGCUUUUUUGUAAAGUUGCGAAUGAACUAAGCCAGAGACAACUUUUCCCAGACGGAGGGGGUACUAAUUUCGCUAGUUGGAAGCAUAAGAUGAAAAUGCAUA
Long non-coding RNA from Triticum aestivum (bread wheat), 703 nucleotides. RefSeq lists it as uncharacterized. NCBI's taxonomy places the organism in Eukaryota, Viridiplantae, Streptophyta, Magnoliopsida, Poales, Poaceae. The transcript has 3 exons. The record is from RefSeq and is a predicted model, not a curated record.